GGCUCGGUAGCUCAGUCGGUAGAGCAGAGGCCUGAAAAGCCUUGUGUCGAUGGUUCAAUUCCGUCCCGAGCCACCA
RNAcentral lists this transfer RNA (76 nucleotides) under Fidelibacterota bacterium. Its description in RNAcentral is "tRNA-Phe". It matches the Rfam family "tRNA". Rfam says of the family: Transfer RNA (tRNA) molecules are approximately 80 nucleotides in length. Lineage: Bacteria; Pseudomonadati; Fidelibacterota. The record is from RNAcentral.